RNAcentral lists this ribosomal RNA (280 nucleotides) under Ligilactobacillus ruminis. RNAcentral describes it as "partial 16S ribosomal RNA". It matches the Rfam family "Bacterial small subunit ribosomal RNA", at positions 502 to 776 of the family's 1533-position model. Lineage: Bacteria; Bacillati; Bacillota; Bacilli; Lactobacillales; Lactobacillaceae. The record is from RNAcentral.
UAUGGAAUUUGCCAGCCGCCGCGGUAAUACGUAGGUGGCGAGCGUUGUCCGGAUUUAUUGGGCGUAAAGGGAACGCAGGCGGUCUUUUAAGUCUGAUGUGAAAGCCUUCGGCUUAACCGAAGUAGUGCAUUGGAAACUGGAAGACUUGAGUGCAGAAGAGGAGAGUGGAACUCCAUGUGUAGCGGUGAAAUGCGUAGAUAUAUGGAAGAACACCAGUGGCGAAAGCGGCUCUCUGGUCUGUAACUGACGCUGAGGUUCGAAAGCGUGGGUAGCAAACAGG